This 253-nucleotide ribosomal RNA is filed under the name uncultured bacterium. RNAcentral's name for it is "partial 16S ribosomal RNA". It matches the Rfam family "Bacterial small subunit ribosomal RNA", at positions 524 to 776 of the family's 1533-position model. The record is from RNAcentral.
UACGGAGGAGGCAAGCGUUAUCCGGAAUUAUUGGGCGUAAAGCGUCCGCAGGUGGCUAUUCAAGUCUGCGGUCAAAGACUGGGGCUUAACCCUGGAAAGGCCGUGGAAACUGAAGAGCUAGAGUGCAGUAGGGGUAGAGGGAAUUCCCGGUGUAGCGGUGAAAUGCGUAGAGCUCGGGAAGAACAUCGGUGGCGAAAGCGCUCUGUUGGACUGCAACUGACACUCAGGGACGAAAGCGUGGGUAGCGAACGGG